GAGACCCAUGCCCACUGUUGCUAACGCGACCCGUGAGGGUUGGCGAGUACACGGUGGGGACCGCUGGCGCUAAGUCAGAGGAAGGGGUGGUCGACGGUAGGUCAGUAUGCCCCGAAUAUCCCGGGCUACACGCGGGCUACAAUGGACAGGACAAUGGGCUACUACACCGAAAGGUGGCGUCAAUCUCUUAAACCUGCCCUUAGUUCGGAUUGUGGGCUGCAACUCGCCCACAUGAAGCUGGAAUCCGUAGUAAUCGCGGAUCAACAUUCCGCGGUGAAUAU
This 281-nucleotide ribosomal RNA is filed under the name uncultured archaeon. Its description in RNAcentral is "partial 16S rRNA". It matches the Rfam family "Archaeal small subunit ribosomal RNA", at positions 1047 to 1325 of the family's 1478-position model. The record is from RNAcentral.